ACACCCAAUUGACAACGGCGCCA
RNAcentral lists this non-coding RNA (23 nucleotides) under Arabidopsis thaliana (thale cress). The record is from RNAcentral. Lineage: Eukaryota; Viridiplantae; Streptophyta; Magnoliopsida; Brassicales; Brassicaceae.